AGCUCCAAUAGCGUAUAUUAAAGUUGUUGCAGUUAAAAAGCUCGUAGUUGGAUUUCGGAGCCGACCGGGCGGUCUGUCGAGAGACACGCACUGCACGGUGGCUCUUCCUCUCGGAGGCCCUGGCUGCCCUUAACUGGAGCGGGCAGGGGAUUCGGGACGUUUACUUUGAAAAAAUUAGAGUGUUCAAGGCAGGCUCGCCAGCUUGAAUACAUGAGCAUGGAAUAAUGGAAUAGGACUACGGUCCCUAUUUCGUUGGUUUGACGGACCGAAGUAAUGAUUAAGAGGGACAAUUGGGGGCAUCCGUAUUUCGUAGUCAGAGGUGAAAUUCUUGGACCUACGAAAGACGAACAACUGCGAAAGCAUUUGCCAAGAGUGUUUUCAUUAAUCAAGAACGAAAGUA
Molecule: ribosomal RNA, 400 nt
Filed under: phytoplankton environmental sample
Lineage: Eukaryota
Description: partial small subunit ribosomal RNA
Rfam family: Eukaryotic small subunit ribosomal RNA
Source: RNAcentral